GGAAAGGCGAAAAGAACCCCGGCGAGGGGAGUGAAAAAGAACCUGAAACCGUGUACGUACAAGCAGUAGGAGCCCCAUCACUCAAGUGCCUCGCACUGAGUGAUGCAAUAACAUCACCGAAAAUAGCGCCGAAUUUGCUAACAAGGUUGGUCGAUUUUUUCAAGCCGUCGCGCAGUGUACCUAGAAGUACACGAGCAACGGAAGUUAAAAAAUCGGGCAAGAAUGAACGCAAAGGCAAGCGGGACAUUUGAGGAUGGGGUGACUGCGUACCUUUUGUAUAAUGGGUCAGCGACUUAUAUUCUGUAGCAAGGUUAACCG
Molecule: ribosomal RNA, 318 nt
Filed under: Proteus mirabilis
Lineage: Bacteria; Pseudomonadati; Pseudomonadota; Gammaproteobacteria; Enterobacterales; Morganellaceae
Description: partial 23S ribosomal RNA
Rfam family: Bacterial large subunit ribosomal RNA
Source: RNAcentral